This 441-nucleotide ribosomal RNA is filed under the name uncultured bacterium. RNAcentral describes it as "partial 16S ribosomal RNA". It matches the Rfam family "Bacterial small subunit ribosomal RNA", at positions 338 to 795 of the family's 1533-position model. The record is from RNAcentral.
CCUACGGGAGGCAGCAGUGGGGGAUAUUGCACAAUGGGGGGAACCCUGAUGCAGCGACGCCGCGUGGGUGACGGAGCGUUUCGGCGCGUAAAGCCCUAUCGGCAGGGAAGAAGAAGGACGGUACCUGACUAAGAAGCCCCGGCUAACUACGUGCCAGCAGCCGCGGUAAUACGUAGGGGGCAAGAGUUAGCCGGAUUUACUGGGUGUAAAGGGGGCGCAGGUGGCAGCGCAAGCCAGGUGUGAAAGGCGGGGGCCCAACCCCGGGACUGCUCUUGAAACUGUGCGGCUGGAGUGCAGGAGGGGCAGGCGGAAUGCCUGGUGUAGCGGUGAAAUGCGUAGAUAUCAGGAGGAACACCGGUGGCGAAGGCGGCCUGCUGGACUGCAACUGACGUUGAGGCCCGAAAGCGUGGGGAGCAAACAGGAUUAGAUACCCCUGUAGUC